AUUUGCCUGCAAAAGUCAGGAUGUCUUCACUCUUUUUUUUUUUUUUUUUUAGAAACAGCAACAAAAUUCUUUAUGUCAAUUGUCAGAAUUGUGUGAAAGAAACACUAAACUAUGCAUAAUGAAGUAAAGAAUUUGCUUAUGUAGAAGCUUGAGAAUUAUUACUGUAAUAUUUACUCUGUUCUUUUUUUUUUCUCUUUUUUUUUUUAUUACGUAUUUUCCUCAAUUACAUUUCCAAUGCUAUCCCAAAAGCCUCCCACACCCUCCCCCACCACCACUCCCCUACCCACCCAUUCCCAUUUUUUGGCCCUGGCAUUCCCCUGUACUGGGGCAUAUAAAGUUUGCCUGUCCAGUGGGCCUCUCUUUCCAGUGAUGGCCGACUAGGCCAUCUUUUGAUACAUAUGCAGCUAGAGACAAGAGCUCCGGGGUACUGGUUAGUUCAUAAUGUUGCACCUACAGGGUUGCAGAUCUCUUUAGCUCCUUGGAUACUUUCUCUAGCUCCUCCAUUGGGGACCCUGUGAUCCAUCCAAUAGUUGACUGUGAGCAUCCACUUCUAUGUUUGUUAGGCCCUGGCCUAGUCUCACAAGAGACGGCUAUAUCACGGACCUUGCAACAAACGCUUGCUAGUGUAUGCAAUGGUGUCAUCGUUUGGAGGCUAAUUAUGGGAUGGAUCCCUGGAUAUGGCAGUCUCUUGAUGGUCCAUCCUUUUGUCUCAGCUCCAAACUUUGUCUCUGUAACUCCUUCCAUGGGUGAUUGUUUCCAAUUUUAGGAAGGGACUCCAUUGUGUAAAUAACCACAUUUUCUGUAUCCAUUCUUCUGACAUGGGACAUCUAGGUUGUUUCCAGCUUCUGGCUAUCACAAAUAGGGUAGCUAUGAACUUAGUGAACAUAUGCCCCUGUGGCAUGGUGGGGCAUCUUUUGGGUAUAUUCCCAAGAGUGGUAUAGCUGGGUCUUCAGGUCUCCGAAAGACCCAACAAGCAGCUGAAAGAGUCAGAUGCAGUUAUUUGCACCCAAUCAAUGGACAGAAGCAGCUGACCCCUGUUGUUGAAUUAGGGAAGGCUGAAAGAAGCUGAGGAGAAGGGAGAUUCUGUAGGAGGACCAGCAGUCUUAGUUAAUCUGGAUCCCUGAGAUCUCUCAAACACUUGACCACCAAACAGACAGCAUACACCAGCUGAUAUGAGGCCCCCAACACACAUAUGGUAGAGGACUUCAGGUCUGUGUUCAUUCAGAGAUAAUGCACCUAACCCUCUAGAGACUGGAGGCCCCAGGGAGUUUAGAGGUCUGGUGGGGUGGGGGUGGGGGGAGCAUCCUCGUGGAGACAGGGUGGGGUGGGGAGGAGCUGUGGGGUUUGCAGCAGUCAGAGGGUGGAUGGGGAGGGGCAGGGGAUGGAAUAUGGAGUGUAAAAAAUGAAUUAAAAAUAAAAUUAAAGAACAAAAAAUAACCCUGCCUUUUUGUAUUUUCACUCAAAACUCCAGCAGGAUAACUAUUCUUUGUACUCUUCCAGAGGUCUGGAUCAGUAAAUACUUAGGAUAAAUACACCUUUGUGUUGCUGUAGGGAGAUAGCUCAGUUUGUAAAGUGCUUGCUAUUCAAGCAUGAAGACCGAAGACUUUAGGACCUGGGGAAAAUGUUAGCAUGUCCUUGUAAUUCUGAUGCUGAGGAGGUAGGGACAGGAGACUUGGGGGCUCUGGGACUGCUCAGCCUGUAGAAGGCAAUCUCAAAGUAAGGUGGGCAGCCCAUGAGGAAUAGGAGGAACACCUGAAGGUGACUUGUGACUCAUAUAUUUAUACUUAGACACAGACACACAGGCUCGCUCACUCGCUCGCUCUCUCUUUCUGUCUCUGUCUCUGUCUCUCUCUCUCUCACACACACACACACACACACACACACACACACAGAGAGAGUGCCUUUUGAGGUACAAAAAAGUUUUCCUUGUGCUAGUGUGUUCAAUGAAAUUAGCUUUGCAUUCUUGUGGAUACUGUGUAGAAUCUCAAUUAAAUGGCCUAUUUAGAGCAUAGGGGAUCUUAUUGUGCUUGGUAGGGAUUGGUCAUAGUGACAGUCAUUGCUGGUAUUCAUUGAUUAUUUCUUGCUGCUGUCUGCUGUUAGCAGUUUUCAUUUGUAUGAUGCCAUUAGUCUGUACUGUUGCCUCUUCUUAACACAUGGGAAAAUGGCUUUCAUUAGGUUAGACAACUGGUCCAAUGUUACAUUUAUAUUAGGCACACUUUUCGAAACCUAUCUGACUCUAAAACCUAUUCUUUUUCACUUUUUACCUUCUUAGACUCUUACUUAUUUUAAUAAUAGUAGCAGUAACAAUGACAGGUUGUGCUUACACAGCACUUAUUCUAUACCAAAUACUAUUUUAAGCUUUUUAUGUACAUUGACAUGUUUAAUUCUCACCUUAACUGUAUAAAGUGGGCAUCGUUAUUACCCUCUACUGGGAAGGUCAGAGAGAUUAUAACUUGCUCAGAGUCAAUUACUUACAGCUAUAAGUAGUGGGACCAGGAUUCUAACAAUGGCAGGGUUAUUACUAGAGCAGAUGAGAAUAUUUAUAUUUGUCUUACGUGCUUGCUGCAGUUUUUCAAAAGGCUUUAAACUU
This 2590-nucleotide long non-coding RNA is filed under the name Mus musculus (house mouse). Its description in RNAcentral is "long non-coding RNA chr18:25295784-25298374". The record is from RNAcentral. Lineage: Eukaryota; Metazoa; Chordata; Mammalia; Rodentia; Muridae.